This 1216-nucleotide long non-coding RNA is filed under the name Sorghum bicolor (sorghum). RNAcentral's name for it is "long non-coding RNA (SBIC_LNC009302)". Lineage: Eukaryota; Viridiplantae; Streptophyta; Magnoliopsida; Poales; Poaceae. The record is from RNAcentral.
CAGGGGCCAGGGGGGCCUUGCUUAUAUAGUCCUCCCCUUCUAUGCGUUUUUGGGUCAAUAGGCGAGGUGGUACUAUGUUUUUCUUGAUCCAAUAGGUCGGUGGAAUAUCCCGAGCAAAAGAGUCCUGAUUUGGCUCCAACAGGGGGGCGGGCGCCCUGGGCCUGGCCCAGUUUUGCCUCCGCUUCGGUCUCGUGGCUUCUGGAGUCUUCUAGAUGAUGUAAAAUUGCGCGGUGCGUUGAUAUCUCUAUGUAAUCCCGACAUGUGGGCCUUUCUUCCUUAUUUCCUGAUAACCCCCUGCAGAAAUAGAUAAACAACAAAACUCGUGGAAUUCUGUCAGAUCAAACCCUAUUUCUAGGUGUUGGUUGCAUAUUGGUCCUUUCUCAUGUUUAUUUGAUAAUUAAAAUUGAUACUUAAGAACCGUCAACAAAUACCCCCAUACUUAGGCUUUUACUCGUCCUCGAGAAAAGGAUGGUUAAGAACAAUAUCUGGGGUAAAUAUUUAAAACAUUCUCUUUAUAAUUUGCAGGGUGUUAAAAAUUCCACUGUGUACCAUAGUCAGGGAAGUUUAUGAUCAAGAGUAAAGAUUCUUUCUUUUCAAUCCUGUCACUUGGAGUUUUUGUAUAUUUUUGAAAGAAAGUUAGCAUACCUUUUGAUCCUCAUAGGUUCUCUCAGAUCACUCAUUAUCUUUUAUAUAUAUCUCACUGAGGUUGUUUUAUUUUUUUUUGCAAAAAUUCUCAAGCAUUCUUACUUUGCAUUUAUUGCCUGAUCAAAACGGGAUCCGAGGAGGGGAAUGUCAUACUCUUAGAUCAAAGACUUUGGAAAUUAAAAACUUUGUCAACUCUUGCUGGCAUAUUGCUUAUUAGAGGGACCAUGGGCUAUCAUUUUUUUCUCCUCUCUCUUUUUUUUAAGUGGAUACCGAGGUACUCCUAAAUCUACUGCUGGACACUUGUCCAUUUUUUCUGCGAGGUUGUCGAGCACUUGCUCCUUUUUAUUUCCUCGAAAUAUCUCUAUUUUUGCAUAGCCCAUGCCUCUAAUGCAAUAAUACUUCGGAAGAGUGAAUCUUACGGAAUUAAUGUCUUGAUCUUAGGAGCAUGAUAAAUCUCUCAACAAGGGUCUAACUCAUUUGGAACAAACUCAAUACAGAGCAGAAAGCUUUUUAUAGUUAUAAUUAAUAUUUUCAGUUUUAUCAGGCAUAUAAAACAUUGAGGAUGGUAGCU